UCAGCACAUCCAUAAUCGUUAAUCCAUUCAUCAAAGCAGUCAUCCGUCUCACACUCUCUAUUUCGUCUCUCAAAUACUCAAACUCAACAUCUUGGAGUCUCGUCUUGGUCACGGUCAACAUCGCCGGCGACACCAUCUCCGCCGUCGCCAUCUCCAUCGUCUCCGUUUAGUCUACAAACAUGCAACAACAGUACUGAUAAUAUAUAGAGGUUGUUCAUAUCUAAUUUCUCUGUUGAAACUUUAGAGAAGAAGAAAAAAUAUUCAUGCUGCUGAAAUUACUAGUAAAUUCUCAUGAUGCAGCAAUAUUGUCUUCCUUUGGUUAAUGUCGAAUUUUAAUUAAGUUGAUCACGAUGUAAUUUAUACUUAAGGAUGUAAUUUAUACUUAAGGAUGUAAUUUGUAUUGGUUGUGUUGUCAUGUAACUGUGAUUUAUGUUGCUGAUGAAUUUGUGAUUUAGUAUUAGCCUUAUACUUUAUGUGGCUAAUUGCGAAUGCUAUGUGUUUGAGAACAAUGAUACAACAAAACAUGAUGUAUGAUUGGCAGGUUGGGCCAGUUUUUAUAAUGAGUCAUAGUUGUAUUUAGAAAAA
Long non-coding RNA from Cicer arietinum (chickpea), 585 nucleotides. RefSeq lists it as uncharacterized. Lineage: Eukaryota; Viridiplantae; Streptophyta; Magnoliopsida; Fabales; Fabaceae. The record is from RefSeq and is a predicted model, not a curated record.